CAGGGCUUAAAUGUAGUCUGACAGGGGUGGAAACACCCUUUUCUUCGGACAGAUUACUAGGUGCUGCAUGGUUGUCGUCAGCUCGUGCCGUGAGGUGUCAGGUUAAGUCCUAUAACGAGCGCAACCCCUGUUGUUAGUUGCCAGCGAGUCAAGUCGGGAACUCUAACAAGACUGCCGGUGCAAACCGUGAGGAAGGUGGGGAUGACGUCAAAUCAUCACGGCCCUUACGUCCUGGGCCACACACGUGCUACAAUGGCAGGUACAAUGGGCAGCCACUGCGUAAGCAGGAGCGAAUCCACAAAACCUGUCUCAGUUCAGAUCGGGGUCUGCAACUUGACCCCGUGAAGCUGGAAUCGCUAGUAAUCGGAUAUCAGCCAUGAUCCGGUGAAUACUUUCCC
This 398-nucleotide ribosomal RNA is filed under the name uncultured bacterium. RNAcentral's name for it is "bacterial SSU rRNA". It matches the Rfam family "Bacterial small subunit ribosomal RNA", at positions 975 to 1375 of the family's 1533-position model. The record is from RNAcentral.